CAGGAAAUGGAGAAUGGGGCAGAAGGUGGAGGGGAAGAGGUAACCGCCGGCCCAAGGUGCCUGAUUGGCUGAGGUGCACCCAGGAGAAUUGGCCAGCUGCGGAGGCGAGGCGGCGGCGGGCUCGGCUGCGGCUGGUCUGGCCACAGAGCAGGCUGUCACAGAGAUAAAAGCAGCAAGGUUGAAUCAAACCCUGAACAGGAAUAGACAGAGCUAGAAGUGUAUGUCAAAGAGAGCAAUGCAAGGUAGAGUCCAGCUGACUCCUUGGUUUCCAGGGAAUCUGAAGGCAAUGGAGCAGCACAGACAACAGCUAGCAUGACAAUGAAGAGGGG
This is a long non-coding RNA of Hemicordylus capensis (graceful crag lizard), 329 nucleotides long. RefSeq lists it as uncharacterized. Lineage: Eukaryota; Metazoa; Chordata; Lepidosauria; Squamata; Cordylidae. The record is from RefSeq and is a predicted model, not a curated record. The transcript has 3 exons.